This 405-nucleotide ribosomal RNA is filed under the name uncultured bacterium. RNAcentral's name for it is "bacterial SSU rRNA". It matches the Rfam family "Bacterial small subunit ribosomal RNA", at positions 354 to 776 of the family's 1533-position model. The record is from RNAcentral.
GUGGGGAAUAUUGGACAAUGGGGGCAACCCUGAUCCAGCCAUGCCGCGUGAGUGAAGAAGGCCCUAGGGUUGUAAAGCUCUUUCAGCGAGGAAGAUAAUGACGGUACUCGCAAAAGAAGCCCCGGCUAACUCCGUGCCAGCAGCCGCGGUAAUACGGAGGGGGCUAGCGUUGUUCGGAAUUACUGGGCGUAAAGCGUGCGUAGGCGGUUUGCUAAGUUGGGCGUGAAAGCCCGGGGCUCAACCCCGGAACUGCGUUCAAAACUGGCAGACUAGAGGCCGGUAGAGGAGAGCGGAAUUCCCAGUGUAGAGGUGAAAUUCGUAGAUAUUGGGAAGAACACCAGUGGCGAAGGCGGCUCUCUGGCCCGGUUCUGACGCUGAGGCACGAAAGCGUGGGGAGCGAACAGG